RNAcentral lists this ribosomal RNA (440 nucleotides) under uncultured bacterium. RNAcentral's name for it is "partial 16S ribosomal RNA". It matches the Rfam family "Bacterial small subunit ribosomal RNA", at positions 338 to 795 of the family's 1533-position model. The record is from RNAcentral.
CCUACGGGAGGCUGCAGUGGGGAAUAUUGCACAAUGGGGGAAACCCUGAUGCAGCGACGCCGCGUGGGUGAAGAAGUAUUUCGGUAUGUAAAGCUCUGUCAGCAGGGAAGAAAAUGACGGUAUCUAACCAAGAAGCACCGGCUAACUACGUGCCAGCAGCCGCGGUAAUACGUAGGGGGCAAGCGUUAUCCGGAUUUACUGGGUGUAAAGGGAGCGUAGACGGGAGGGCAAGUCUGAUGUGAAAGGCGGGGGCUCAACCCCAGGACUGCAUUGGAAACUGCUAGGCUGGAGUGCAGGAGAGGUAGGUGGAAUUCCUAGUGUAGCGGUGAAAUGCGUAGAGAUUAGGAGGAAUACCAGUGGCGAAGGCGGCCUACUGGAACGUAACUGACGCUGAGGCUCGAAAGCGUGGGGAGCAAACAGGAUUAGAUACCCCUGUAGUC